AAAUAGAACUUUGCAGAGAGAGUUAAGAGGGCGUGAACCGUUAAUUGGCAAACGAAUCGGAGCCACGAAGUCGUUUCGCUGAUAAGUUGAGCCGAGUUCAGUUGGGCAAUUCUAAAAAAAUUGUUUGGCGUAUUCUCGUAGUUUAACCUAAAAUUGUAAACGUACACUGCAACCAGUUAGACAAUUGGAAAUGGGCAUAGUUGCUAGAGGGGCUUGCUCCUUUUGUAACGCAAAUGUUGUCGGCUUGAGUUAGUAGUAGCAGAGAGUUGGCUUGCUGGCUUUUUGUUGCUGAAUUUAAGUUUGGUGAACUAUUUCCAAAUACUGACUGGCAAAAUAAAAAUCGAUUCUAUGAAUCGUUGUCAGAUAAAGCAGCUAGCUGCAUUAGUGUCUACAUGUUUGACCAUUUAGUUUUAAGCUCAGCGUUUUUAAAUUCAAACUUGCUUGCUACCAGUGGGGCAACUCCUGGUGCUUGUAUUGCUUUGUCUAAUUGGGCGUUGACUUGGCUAGGUGUCGUUUGAGCAUGCUACGAUUGGAUGUUAAUGUAAGUAAGUUCGCAAUUGAAUUGGCAGUGAGUAGGUCGGCUUUCCGAACGACCCGUCUUGAAACACGGACCAAGGAGUCUAAUUAGGCAUCAGUCGAUCGGUCUUGAUAGGCCAGAUAGAAGAGUUUUCGGACUUUUCAAGUGAAGGCGUAGAGAAAUCAAAUCAUGUGAUCAUUGUGGCUACAACAGCCUAUUUGCGCAACAUGUGCCUGUUCGUAUAGCAAUGCUAGCAAUAGCUUGCUGGGCGGAGCAAAGAGAUGCCUGAUUGGUACCCGAAAGAUGGUGAACUAUGCUUGGGCAAAUUGAAGCCAGAGGAAACUCUGGUGGAGGAUUGUAGCGAUUCUGACGUGCAAAUCGAUCGUCAGACCUGAGUAUAGGGGCGAAAGACUAAUCGAACCAUC
This 942-nucleotide ribosomal RNA is filed under the name Acaphyllisa populusis. RNAcentral describes it as "eukaryotic LSU rRNA". It matches the Rfam family "Eukaryotic large subunit ribosomal RNA", at positions 366 to 944 of the family's 3401-position model. Lineage: Eukaryota; Metazoa; Arthropoda; Arachnida; Trombidiformes; Eriophyidae. The record is from RNAcentral.